RNAcentral lists this ribosomal RNA (425 nucleotides) under uncultured Caldimonas sp. Its description in RNAcentral is "bacterial SSU rRNA". It matches the Rfam family "Bacterial small subunit ribosomal RNA", at positions 354 to 771 of the family's 1533-position model. The record is from RNAcentral. Lineage: Bacteria; Pseudomonadati; Pseudomonadota; Betaproteobacteria; Burkholderiales; Sphaerotilaceae.
GUGGGGAAUUUUGGACAAUGGGGGCAACCCUGAUCCAGCCAUGCCGCGUGCGGGAAGAAGGCCUUCGGGUUGUAAACCGCUUUUGUUCGGGAAGAAAUCCUCUGGGCUAAUACCCCGGGGGGAUGACGGUACCGGAAGAAUAAGCACCGGCUAACUACGUGCCAGCAGCCGCGGUAAUACGUAGGGUGCGAGCGUUAAUCGGAAUUACUGGGCGUAAAGCGUGCGCAGGCGGUUGUGCAAGACAGAUGUGAAAUCCCCGGGCUUAACCUGGGAACUGCAUUUGUGACUGCACGGCUAGAGUGCGGCAGAGGGGAGUGGAAUUCCGCGUGUAGCAGUGAAAUGCGUAGAUAUGCGGAGGAACACCGAUGGCGAAGGCAGCUCCCUGGGCCUGCACUGACGCUCAUGCACGAAAGCGUGGGGAGCAA